CCUACGGGGGGCUGCAGUAGGGAAUCUUCCACAAUGGGCGAAAGCCUGAUGGAGCAACGCCGCGUGGGUGAAGAAGGUCUUCGGAUCGUAAAACCCUGUUGUUAGAGAAGAAAGUGCGUGAGAGUAACUGUUCACGUUUCGACGGUAUCUAACCAGAAAGCCACGGCUAACUACGUGCCAGCAGCCGCGGUAAUACGUAGGUGGCAAGCGUUAUCCGGAUUUAUUGGGCGUAAAGGGAACGCAGGCGGUCUUUUAAGUCUGAUGUGAAAGCCUUCGGCUUAACCGGAGUAGUGCAUUGGAAACUGGGAGACUUGAGUGCAGAAGAGGAGAGUGGAACUCCAUGUGUAGCGGUGAAAGGCGUAGAUAUAUGGAAGAACACCAGUGGCGAAAGCGGCUAUCUGGUCUGUAACUGACGCUGAGGUUCGAAAGCGUGGGUAGCAAACAGGAUUAGAUACCCUAGUAGUC
This 465-nucleotide ribosomal RNA is filed under the name uncultured bacterium. RNAcentral's name for it is "partial 16S ribosomal RNA". It matches the Rfam family "Bacterial small subunit ribosomal RNA", at positions 338 to 795 of the family's 1533-position model. The record is from RNAcentral.